This 566-nucleotide ribosomal RNA is filed under the name Morchella magnispora. Its description in RNAcentral is "partial 28S ribosomal RNA". It matches the Rfam family "Eukaryotic large subunit ribosomal RNA", at positions 33 to 603 of the family's 3401-position model. Lineage: Eukaryota; Fungi; Ascomycota; Pezizomycetes; Pezizales; Morchellaceae. The record is from RNAcentral.
UUGACCUCGGAUCAGGCGGAGGAAAAGAAACCAACAGGGAUUGCCUCAGUAACGGCGAGUGAAGCGGCAAAAGCUCAAAUUUUAAAGCUGACAUCUUCGGUGUCCGCGUUGUAAUUUUGUGAGGCAUCUCCGGGUAGGGCGCCGGCCUAAGUUCCUUGGAACAGGACGUCACAGAGGGUGAGAAUCCCGUGCUUGGCUGGCUGUCCCCGUCCAUGUGAGGUGUCUUCGACGAGUCGAGUUGUUUGGGAAUGCAGCUCAAAAUGGGUGGUAAAUUUCAUCUAAAGCUAAAUAUUGGUGGGAGACCGAUAGCGCACAAGUAGAGUGAUCGAAAGAUGAAAAGCACUUUGAAAAUAGAGUUAAAAAGUACGUGAAAUUGUUGAAAGGGAAGCGCUUGAGACCAGACUUCGGUAAGGGGUGAUCAGCCGUCCUUCUGGGCGGUGCACUUGCCCCCCUCCGGGCCAGCAUCGGUUGAGGCGGCGGGAUAAAGGUCCCGGGAAUGUGGCUCCUUCACGGGAGUGUUAUAGCCCGGGUGAAUGCCGCCAGCUUCGACCGAGGACCGCACCCGC